RNAcentral lists this ribosomal RNA (484 nucleotides) under uncultured bacterium. RNAcentral's name for it is "partial 16S ribosomal RNA". It matches the Rfam family "Bacterial small subunit ribosomal RNA", at positions 30 to 507 of the family's 1533-position model. The record is from RNAcentral.
AUUGAACGCUGGCGGCAUGCUUUACACAUGCAAGUCGAACGGCAGCGCGGGCUUCUUCCUUGCGUCGUGUUGCCAACGGGUGAGUAAUUCACCCGUACAUGCCCUACCUUUGAGGAUAGGCUGACUACAGCCGGCUUUAUAUCACAUCCGAUCUUAUUUUGAACCGGGUGGUCCGAAAGUCCUCGCCCUUUUUGCUCUCCCUAUUUGGUAUUAGCUAGUUGGUUUGGUAAAGGCUUACCAAGGCGACGAUCCGUAGCUGCUCUGAGAGGACGACCUGCCACACUGGAACUGAGACACGGCCCAGACUCCUACGGGAGGCAGCAGUAGGGAAUUUUGGACAAUGGGGGCAAGCCUGAUGCAGCAAUGCCGCGUGAGGGAAGAAGGCCUUCGGAUUGUAAAACGCUUUUGUUAGGGAAGAAAACAUGUGGGCUAAUACGCCGGGAGGAUGACGGUACCGGAAGAAUAAGCACCGGCUAACUACGUG